This 390-nucleotide ribosomal RNA is filed under the name uncultured bacterium. RNAcentral describes it as "bacterial SSU rRNA". It matches the Rfam family "Bacterial small subunit ribosomal RNA", at positions 32 to 414 of the family's 1533-position model. The record is from RNAcentral.
AAUCAACGCUGGCGGCGUGCCUAACACAUGCAAGUCGAACGAGAAAGGGUCCGCAAGGACCUGAGUAAAGUGGCGACCGGGUGAGUAACACGUGACUAACCUACCCUUGAGUGGGGGAUAACCUCGGGAACCGGGGCUAAUACCGCAUAACCUUUCCGGGAAGCAAUGCCUGGAAAGACAAAGGAAGCAAUUCGCUGGAGGAGGGAGUCGCGGCCGAUUAGCUAGUUGGUGAGGUAAUGGCCCACCAAGGCAUGAUCGGUAGCCGGCCUGAGAGGGCGCACGGCCACACUGGAACUGAAACACGGUCCAGACUCCUACGGGAGGCAGCAGUGGGGAAUAUUGGACAAUGGGCGCAAGCCUGAUCCAGCAAUGCCGCGUGUGUGAAGAAGG